RNAcentral lists this ribosomal RNA (492 nucleotides) under uncultured bacterium. Its description in RNAcentral is "partial 16S ribosomal RNA". It matches the Rfam family "Bacterial small subunit ribosomal RNA", at positions 28 to 507 of the family's 1533-position model. The record is from RNAcentral.
AUUGAACGCUGGCGGCAUGCUUUACACAUGCAAGUCGAACGGUAACAGGCCUUCGGGUUCUGACGCUUGGCGCACGGGUGAGUAAUGCAUCGGUACGUGCCCAGCGGUGGGGGUUAACGCAGCGUAAGCUGUCCUAAUACCGCAUGUGAUCUGAGGAUGAAAGCGGGGGCCCAGGCAGCAAUGUUUGGCCUCUCGCCUUUGGAGCGGCCGAUGUCCGUUUAGUUCGUUGGUGGGUUAAAUGCCUACCCAGCCGACGAUCUGUAGCUGGUCUGAGUGGCCGACCAGCCACACGGGGAGUGAGACACGGCCCAGACGCCUGCGGGAGGCAGCAGAGGGGAAUGGUGGACAAUGGGCGCAAGCAUGGUCCAGCAAUGCGGCGGGCGAGAAGAAGGCGUUCGGGGCGUAAACCGCUUUUGUGCGGAACGAAAAGGCUCUGGCUAAGACCUGGGGUUGAUGACGGUACCGUAAGAAGAAGCACCGGCUAACUACGUG